RNAcentral lists this ribosomal RNA (253 nucleotides) under uncultured bacterium. RNAcentral describes it as "partial 16S ribosomal RNA". It matches the Rfam family "Bacterial small subunit ribosomal RNA", at positions 524 to 776 of the family's 1533-position model. The record is from RNAcentral.
UACGUAGGGGGCAAGCGUUGUCCGGAUUUAUUGGGCGUAAAGCGCACGUAGGUGGCGACGUAAGUCGGGUGUGAAAGCCCCGGGCUCAACCUGGGAAUUGCAUUCGAGACUGCAUUGCUGGAGUACGGAAGAGGAAGGCGGAAUUCCCGGUGUAGCGGUGAAAUGCGUAGAUAUCGGGAGGAACAUCAGUGGCGAAGGCGGCCUUCUGGUCCAGUACUGACACUCAAGUGCGAAAGCGUGGGGAGCAAACAGG